Long non-coding RNA from Dromaius novaehollandiae (emu), 5569 nucleotides. RefSeq lists it as uncharacterized. The transcript is spliced from 3 exons. The record is from RefSeq and is a predicted model, not a curated record. Lineage: Eukaryota; Metazoa; Chordata; Aves; Casuariiformes; Dromaiidae.
CGGGCGGGGCCGCGCCGGGAGGCGGGACGGGCCGCGCAGCGCCGCGCCCGCUCGGGGCCUGGGCCGCGGCCGCGGUGGGCGAGCGCAGGCGCGGAGCGGGGCGCCAGGCCGGGCCCCGCGGAGCCGUGGCGAGCACGGCGCGGCCGCGGUGGGAGCGGGACGCUGCAAGCGGGGCCAGAGCCAGGCGGUUAAAAAAAACAUGCCAAGCGGUAGAAGGAGCAGGUGAUGGGGCCGCCGAAACCGCGAGGAGCGAGGCGCUAGGGCCGGCAGCGCGGCGAGUGUGGCUCAGCCCCGGCGGGAGAAGGGGUUUUGUCAGGGCAGAAGGGGGGACAGGGGAACAGAGGGGCCGGCGGGGGAAGAGGCCCGGACGCAGCAGCGCUGGCUCCCAGAAGUAACCCGAGGACCUGGAUUCCUCUGAGGUGACAUUUUCCUGCAGCGAAGCCCCGCGGUGGGUGACACGGCGUUUCGCUCCAUGCUUCAGAGCCUCGUGGUCAGCUGGAAUAACUGUCCCUGGCAGGCCCUGUCCACCCCCUCUAGGAACCAGUUGGUGAGCAGACCAGAAGCAUUUGCUCCACAGGCCAGGCUGGCUGGGCAGAGGCAGCAGCCCUCGGUUGAAAAUACUGCUACCAGACAUCUGUAUCUGUACAAUGAUGAAAAUGCAGCAGCGCUUAGAAUAAGCUCAAGACUGACUCGUUCUAGUUUUGUCCUCAUUUUCAACUUCGUACCAUGAAAAGUUCAAAAGCUUUUUCCACAUUGUUUGUGAGGUUUCUCCAGAGGGAGUAUUUCUGGCUUUGGUUAGAAAAGAACUCCCUGUCUUGCUAAAGAUUGACAAUUAUGUACAUUUUUGGCCUGUAACUUAAGCAAACCAGCAGGCCCUCAGGGUGCUUAAAGUCCAGUUAUGGACAGAAAGAUACUUUUAAAGAACAUUUUUUAAACACUGUUUGAAAUCCAUGCACUGAUACAGCGAUAAGCAGUUCUGAAAAAGAAUUCUUCUCUUAUCUGUAUAUAGGUCAAAUUUAUCUGAACUGCUCCAGAAGAUUUUCUCGAUUUUGAUGCAGACAAGUCUUCUAGCAUUAGAACAAGGGACUCAAAUGUAAGGAAAGUCUCUUUAGCACUUCACGGGGUCACAGCAGGCCACAACGAUAACAUGACCUUUUUACUUUGCUUUUGAUAUGUGCUUCCUGCCCCGUGUCAUCAUGAUUCAACAUCGUGACAUGCUGAAAGAUCAUCAAGGUGGAAACAAUGCAGAGCAGUGUUAGGAUGAUGUGGCCUGCCAUGAUUAUUUUGCGUGUACUUGAUUUAUUGCACAUCAUAUUUUCUCUUUCCUCUUCUUCCAGCUGCCAGGCACGUAGUUCACUCUGUUGCCAGUGUCUUCUCUCGUGUUAGGAAGGGAGAAGAGAACAGGCAUCCCUGGAAUGUGGGCAAGAAGGACAGUUUGCUCUGUGACCCUUGGUUUGGAAAGCUUGACAGAGCCUCAGCUCGUGUAUUACAACAUAUCUUAUUAUUCAAUGGGUUACGGUCUCAGUUUUUUGUUCCAACUCCCUAGAAACUAUUAGCCAGAGCUCACAAGAGAAUCAAGAACUGUUACGGAAGUCAUGAAACUAUAUUUGUUAAAGGAUUGGACAUUUUAUUGUGGGGGGAAGAUGCAGCUUCUUUUCUCAUUCUCCAGUUGGCUAGCAGUUUUUUUAAUAUCUCUAAAUUCUUUUUCUGAUGAAGGCAGUUGUCUUCUGCUAGGAAGAGAGACUCUGAGAAAAGAGAAAGCUUAAAACAAUCCGCUGCUGCAGAAGGAGAAACAUGUCUCAGUAAUUUAAAAGAGGAAGGAAGAGAUAAUAGUGAGGGAGUUUUUGAACUGAUAACACCAACCAGGUGUUAUUCCUCAAUAGACUUAGGGCUUUGACUUUUUUUUUUUGAUGAGGCAAUUUCUAGAAAAGAAUGUGGCGGGUAAUUUCAUUUUUAUUUGUUUCUGAGGUGAACAAUGUUUCUCCCCCCUUGUCUUGAACAAUGGGAAUACAAUAUUGUAGUUCAUGUUUUCUUAAACUGUCAAGAUAGCACAUCUGUCCUGAAGAGCUCCCCUUUGCCAGGGCUGGCUAUGUUCACGCACACGUACAUGACCACUGUGAGUCUGAACCCUGGACAGCCAUCCCAGGUUAUAUGUAUUCAGCACCACUCAGCACUUUGUUCUCCUGCACUCCCUAUUUCCUCCUCUACCAGGACGGGGUCUGGGUGUUCCCAUGUCCCAUUUCCAUCCUUCCCAAGGAUGCAGCUUUUUAUUCUGCACCACUCUGUUUGCCCUCAGUAUACUUCUCGUGUCCUUCUGUACCAUUUUUGUAGGUUGUGGUUUGAUGACACAUCUGCGUCACUGUUGAGUGCCGCCCACCAAAAAAGGUGGUCCUGCUCCCUCCAGCAGUACGCUUCUUCAUCUUUCCUUACCGUAGCGCCACCCUCGUCUAGCCCUUUGGUGAGUCAGUUCAAGAGAGUAGUUUUCUGUUGGAUUAACAAGUUGGAUCAGCUUACCGUGUGGUUUGAUGUGGUGCAAGAGAGGGUGUGGACCAGCAGGGCCAGGAGUCAGGGAGGGAAAAGCAGGACCACCCAAGUCAGAACGGUAAGGUGACUCAGUCAUGUCAUUUAACUUCACCCUUAUUUACUUCAUCUUAUAUAAUUUGACCCAUUUCUACUUUCUCCUUAACUGAGAGAGAAGUCUGUCCAAGUGACCUUUUAAAACCAUAUCGAGAGAAUCAGCAGAUCCAAAGUGCAGGAUAUUGCUAUGUACUGGGAUGCGAUAAUGGCUGGCGUCAGCUGAUCCUUCUUUCUAAGGAUGUGGGAAGAGGCAUUUUAGGUUAUUGGCUCUGAGAAGAGCAGGCCAGAGACUCAAAUUUUACAGUUUUUGCAGUUUGUAGCAGCUGGUAAGGUUCUGUCUGUUGAUUAAAAUAGUUCUUGAGAUUUUGGAACUGAACAAAUUUGGUAUUAAAAACUGUGGUAUCGAUAAACACUCAUUAUGAUGGUGCUUCUAUGUCUCCUUGCUCCCUAUGCUAACAAGCACAACCCUCUGUGCAAAUACACUUACUCUAGUACCAGAGUAGGAUAUUUCAGCACUUUUUAAAGCACUUCACAAGUGACAUGUUAUACCAAGGACAGAUACAUACUGAAGCAGGAAUAUCAGGAAGAGAUUUAUAGUAAUUUAAAUUAAUAUCUUAUAUUACCAUGACAGAUCUAAAUUCACACUGAUCAUUUCACCUCUUUCAAUGGACGUUGAGAUGGCACAAUGCUGUUAAUGCUUCAGGUAAAACAGAAUUCUGGAAUUGUACACUGGAGAGUUUUUACAGAAUGGUACCUAAAUAUUAGAUCUUGGAAAAAUUAGACUUAGCAGGAGCUCUUGCAAACCCAUAGCUGAAUAUGAAUUAUUAACAUCUUUGGUUUGUUCUUGGAGCAAUAGUACGUGUUACAGAACUGUAAUUAGGGCUGGGUUGUGUCUGAGUCUUCCUAUCACGCUACAUCAGUCUGUCGCUGUUAGAAUUAUUACCCCUGAACCUGUUCCUUGCUCACCCAGCUAGCUAAUGACCUAGAGAUAAGAUGGCAUUUAUUGGUAGUAGAAGAAAUGGCCUUUCAUUUUUACACAGAAGCAAAAAAACAGGUCAGCGAGCAAGUUACACAUUCUUCAUCCGCCCACAGUGCAAUGGAAGAUGAUAAUGCUUAUCUUUUCAGGAGGCAGAUUUCACUUUUUUCCUUACUGUUCCAACAGACUUGCAUUUUCUCCCUGGCACUAUUCUUUUUUUUUUUUUUUUUUAAUAACUUAAGACUUUGUCUAAUGCUAGGACCAUGAUCAAGAUUUUUCAUUAAAACAGAUUCCUAGAAGGGUUCCUCAGAAUACAGUUUCCUCACUGUGUGAUAUAGAUAGAGCUGAACUGGAGGGAACAGGUAGAGAAUAGAUAGAGACUCUGUCAUUGCCUUUUUACCAAAUUGUAAGCGUUGAAAUUUGGGUGGGAGGCAAAGCUCCUCCCUUGUGCAAACAUAUCCUCCAAUAAAAGCCAUGUGGUGUGAGCAAUAGUAGGUAAGGGCUUUCAUUUUUUUUUAAAUAAACAACACCUUAUCGAUGUGAAAGGCCAAACAUGGCUAGCUCAUAUACACACAAAGGCUUGUGUGUCUGUGGAUGUGCCUGCCCUGCACACCCAGCCUGCCAUCACCUUAUUUUAGCUAAGGUGACCAUUUCUCCCCUAUUUUAAGAAAUAUUCCUUAUUUCAUUUGUCAAACGAGUUAAAAAAAAAAGCUGAAUCAUAUCUUUGUAGAGCAACACUCGGCAAUGCAUCCGUUAAUUGAACCUUAUUUUUGGUUUAAAAAUAUCAGCCUCAAGAGACUGAGUCUUUUAAGAAAAAGCUACAGCACAAAGCGAAAAACAGAUCUCCCUCUGUAUUAUAUUAAGGUAGCACUGAGUUGCACACCUAGAAUAAAAAUGGAGAAUCUGGGUUCACAUUUGAGGAUCUGCCCCAAACCUCUGAUUUUGCGUUUGUAAUCCAGAUAAGGAAGAGGCACAUAAGGAAGAAUUUUUUUUCAAAGGUUCAUUAAUGGCAAGGUAAACAUCAAAUGCUUGCCUCACGUGUGCACUAUGUAUUUUACUGCAAAGGUUUAGUGAAUGCUAGAUGCAAGGGAAAGCUCUGAAGCGUGGUAGCAAACUAGUUUGCCUUUGUAAUCCUUCAGUGCAGCUAGAUGGGAGCUCUUCCAGAACAGCUCCCUGGAAAUUUUCAUCCAGCCUCAGCAGUCUAUAAAUAGAGGAGGUCUUCAUCUCCUAGGAGGUUUUGCAAUGCCAUUGUGCAGACGAGCUCUGAGCUCCUCAGGAGGCCGUGGAAGAUGAGUUACAGAGCCAUGCGCUGGAGCCAGGAAGGAAAACAGGCUCUCUUUGAAUUUAAGGUGAGGUCUGCUGACAGGUUCAGUGGAGAAUUAACAUGGAACACUUUUCCCAAAAAUGUGCAUGUGUGUGAAGGGAGAAAUUCCCAAAAAUGUGCAUGUGUGUGAAGGGAGAAAUUCCCUUAGAUCCUGCAUUGAAACUGCUGCUGUAGACUGAAAAAUCCAGCCAUAGUGAACUUCAGUUGCAAACAACUAAGAAAUAUAUCUGAGAAAGAUAAUUGACUGUAAGACGCUCUUCCUGAAAGCCAUUUCAUUUCUCACAAAAUAAUAGUUCACGUUUAGGCUGAACAUUUAAAACAGAAGAAGUGACUGUCAUGGAAAAACAAAAAGGUGAGUUUGAAAUACAUUCCCAGAACAGCGACUUAAAAUAGCUGCACCAAUGGUUUCCCCAUAUGUGUACCUUCUCAGUAUCAAAGAUAAUUUUAUACCAUGGGCAGAUUCUGGCUGCAUGGGGCACAGUAUGAGCAGUCUAAUUACCCAAUAUACCCAGCUCGGAGCUAGCUGUUACUAUUCUCCUGGAUGGCUCACAGCCUUGAUUACAGUAUUAAUAUUCCCUCAAUCAGUCAAGAAACAUCCCUGAAGAGGAGAAGAGAUCUUUCACUUUCCAGAAUGAAUGGAGAAAUUAUUUCACUGGUAUCAAUGAAAAUAGCAAUAAAUGCCAUAUGAAUUA